CCCACUGACACCCCAGCCCCACCCGACCCAUUUGCAUAAUCUAGACCAACGAUCAUCUGCAGCUGCCCCCUGGGUCUCUGGUGGCUGGUCACAGGGGCCAGUGGGGAGGGAGCCCCGGAUCCCACGGAGCCCUGCGCAAGCGCUCUGAUCCGCCUCGCCUCAGGGGGCAGAGAGGCUGCUCACGCCACCCCCUCCCCGUGGUGAUCUCGCCUCUCAUGGCCUCCACGGCUGGAGAGGGGGGUGUGGCAGUGCCCACAGCCAGGGCCACCCGCCAGGCACCGAACAUCAAGCACGCCACGGAUCAGCCAACACUCACAGCUGCCGCCACCGUAGCCUUGGACCAGAUGGACUGCUAGGUCGGUCCUGGCGCAGAGCACGUGUGGGAAGAGAAAGCAAUGCAGGCAAGACCCAGAAAGCAGGCUGUCGGUGCCAUCACUCACAGCAUCGUUUUACAGAGAAGAGGCUCAGAGGUGAUCUGACUUCCCCAGGCGAGGCCGGAGCUGGGGCUCACAGCCGCCUUUGUGUGAGUUAGAAGAGGCUGCACCUCUGGGAAGACGCAGCCUCCCACCAGGAGACACGACCUGGCGAGGAGCGUUUUCUUGGCAGGCGCCCCGUUCUGCCUCUGAGAUCUCACGGCCAGUGGGCGGUACCGCCGGGCCCUGGGGAGCCAGCCGUGCCCUCCUUCCCACACGACACCAACUUUCUCCGCCAGCAAAGGUCUCACGGCGGGAGGUCACCUUAAUGGACCUGUUGGCAAACUCUACCAACCAAAAUCAGUGUUUCUAGUCAGAGAAGGGAGACUGGAAGAGUCCUUGUGGAACAGCGAGCAAGCCAAGCGCCCAGCAGGGCUGGGGCGCUGGAGCCAAGGGCCUGAUCACGCUUGAUGGAAGGGACAGAGGUGGACGCUGGUCCUGCACCCGUGGGGAGUGGGGCAUGGGAGCAGCGUGUGGAAGUGACGUCAGUUUUGGUUGGCCCAUGUGAGUCCUGUUUUUCUAGCACUUGCAAUGUUCCAAGGAAAAGGAUAAAUGUUGGUCGGAGCUACCCCAAGGAUGUAUGGGUGUAAAAUACUAAGGGGAACAUUUAAGAAAAAGUUUCUAAUAAGAUCCAUUGAGAAGUGGAAGGGGCUGCCUUAAAUGUAGUGAUGGCCCCGUUGCGGGCCGGCCACCGGUUUAAGUCACGUCAGUGUGGAUUUGCAUAAGGUUAGGGGACUUUCCAGUGGUGAAACUCAAGGAUUAUGAUUUAACAAACCCAUUUAGGUUAUUGCACUGAGGCACUGCCUCAAAAUUCCUUGCCAUGCAAAUAAGAAUCACCUCACUGAACGGGGCCAGGCCCCUGAAGAAGGAAGUGAAGGAUGGCUGGAGGGAGGGGUGCCCCAGGCGCAUCUGGGGAAGCCAGGGUUCCAGGAGAGCCCCCGCCAGCUGCCAUCCCAAGCUGACUGCGUGUCGCUCUGGGAACCUGCGCAGGUCCUUGGCCUGGCCGGCCCCUCUCCCAGCUGUUUCCCCGACCACCUUGGACCCUGGGGAACGUGGGAAAGCCUGGAGCAGAAGAGGAAGAGCCGGGUGUGUGUGUGUGUGUGUGUGUGUGUGUGUGUGUGUGUGGGUGCGUGCGCGCGCACCCCAAGCACCCCAGCUUGUCUAUACUGUUACAAUCGGGACGCACUUCUGCACCAGCCGGCAGAGCUGCUCCCACCCUGGCCCCCAAAUUGUGACAGCCCAACACAGGCCGUGCCCAGUGUACGUAGGUUGAAUUUAUAUGCAUAAAUAUCAUGGAUGGAUGAAAAAUACGCACAGCACAACUAUGCCCUUGGGUUCCUUGGGGCUCCUCCAUCCCCGAAGCCACUCAAAACUGCCAGGCCACCCUUGAAGUCUCCUGUAGCAGUGAGGGUGGGAGCUGGGCCCUGGGGCCUUCACGGAGAGAAUCGCCGGGUUAAUAUUUGUCAAAUAUGCUGGUGCUGGUUUUUUCUAUAAAGUGGCUUUGGUUUCCAUUUACAUUUCAGGGAGAGGCUGCAAAAUGAUAAGUAAAAAAAUCACUAUCUCAUGAUUAAUUUGCGUGUCUUUAUAUUGAAAAUAAAGUUAACUUUUUGGGCUGGGGCUCUUCCUAUCUAGUUUG
Molecule: long non-coding RNA, 2109 nt
Organism: Physeter macrocephalus (sperm whale)
Lineage: Eukaryota; Metazoa; Chordata; Mammalia; Artiodactyla; Physeteridae
Exons: 3
Source: RefSeq, a predicted model, not a curated record